Molecule: long non-coding RNA, 618 nt
Organism: Talpa occidentalis (Iberian mole)
Lineage: Eukaryota; Metazoa; Chordata; Mammalia; Eulipotyphla; Talpidae
Exons: 4
Source: RefSeq, a predicted model, not a curated record
CCUGAAGUGAUCUUUCCCUCCUCAUCAGUCUUCACAUCAACUGUUUUUCUUUUUUUACCAUUCUUUCUCCUCUUCUUUCUCAGUCCUUUGAAACUUGGGUCUCCCAGCACUGCCCAUGCUGGCAGCAUGUCCUAGUCCUGUGGGGUCACCCACACCGCACCCCCUCCAGGUUUUGGGGCAAGAGGUAGAGAUGUACCUGGUUGAGACGAUGCAGGCAUUUGUCAAGACACCAGAAACAGCAGAAGCAGCAUCUGAACACACACCUCGACCAUGCAUGACGCUGUUGGGAUGAGGUUCAAAGUCAAAAGCACAGAGUCAGACAAAACAUAGCAAAGAGGUUUACCUGUUAUGAUUGCUGCUGACUUCAGUAGAAAUUGACAUGGGUUAGUCCACAUUUCCUAGCAAAGGCUGUUAUAAAUGAACAAGAGAAUGGUUCUUGGAAUCCUCAUCACAGUGAUUAAAAAUGAGCCUUUAACAACUGUUCCUUGAUGGUAGAAAAAGAGAAUGGAGAGGGAUGAAAGGAUUGGGUGAUCAGGAGGGUCACUUUUAUUUCUGGGAACAGGAAAAAAAAGACAGUAUUAAAACACUUUUUAAAAGGAACAAAAAACUGUGGUUCAA